This 104-nucleotide unclassified non-coding RNA is filed under the name uncultured fungus. RNAcentral describes it as "sequence contains ITS1". The record is from RNAcentral. Lineage: Eukaryota; Fungi.
GCCAACAUCCACGUGCGCGCGGGGACGGGCGAGGCGGAAUAUGUGCGCAUGCGCCAGCAAAGGGACGCCUCGCUCGCCUAUCCCGCUCUGAUGCUGCCCUCGGU